RNAcentral lists this transfer RNA (74 nucleotides) under Flavonifractor plautii. RNAcentral's name for it is "tRNA-Val". It matches the Rfam family "tRNA". Rfam says of the family: Transfer RNA (tRNA) molecules are approximately 80 nucleotides in length. Lineage: Bacteria; Bacillati; Bacillota; Clostridia; Eubacteriales; Oscillospiraceae. RNAcentral also lists the same sequence under 4 other names. The record is from RNAcentral.
GCCGUAUUAGCUUAGUUGGAUAGAGCGCCUCCUUGACUAAGAGGUAGACGGGGGUUCGAGUCCCCCAUACGAUC